UUGCACCUGGUGGCGAGUGGCGAACGGGUGAGUAAUACAUCGGAACAUGUCCUGUAGUGGGGGAUAGCCCGGCGAAAGCCGGAUUAAUACCGCAUACGAUCUACGGAUGAAAGCGGGGGACCUUCGGGCCUCGCGCUAUAGGGUUGGCCGAUGGCUGAUUAGCUAGUUGGUGGGGUAAAGGCCUACCAAGGCGACGAUCAGUAGCUGGUCUGAGAGGACGACCAGCCACACUGGGACUGAGACACGGCCCAGACUCCUACGGGAGGCAGCAGUGGGGAAUUUUGGACAAUGGGCGAAAGCCUGAUCCAGCAAUGCCGCGUGUGUGAAGAAGGCCUUCGGGUUGUAAAGCACUUUUGUCCGGAAAGAAAUCCUUGGUUCUAAUAUAGCCGGGGGAUGACGGUACCGGAAGAAUAAGCACCGGCUAACUACGUGCCAGCAGCCGCGGUAAUACGUAGGGUGCGAGCGUUAAUCGGAAUUACUGGGCGUAAAGCGUGCGCAGGCGGUUUGCUAAGACCGAUGUGAAAUCCCCGGGCUCAACCUGGGAACUGCAUUGGUGACUGGCAGGCUAGAGUAUGGCAGAGGGGGGUAGAAUUCCACGUGUAGCAGUGAAAUGCGUAGAGAUGUGGAGGAAUACCGAUGGCGAAGGCAGCCCCCUGGGCCAAUACUGACGCUCAUGCACGAAAGCGUGGGGAGCAAACAGG
Molecule: ribosomal RNA, 701 nt
Filed under: uncultured beta proteobacterium
Lineage: Bacteria; Pseudomonadati; Pseudomonadota; Betaproteobacteria
Description: bacterial SSU rRNA
Rfam family: Bacterial small subunit ribosomal RNA
Source: RNAcentral